This 756-nucleotide ribosomal RNA is filed under the name uncultured bacterium. RNAcentral describes it as "bacterial SSU rRNA". It matches the Rfam family "Bacterial small subunit ribosomal RNA", at positions 8 to 796 of the family's 1533-position model. The record is from RNAcentral.
AGAGUUUGAUCAUGGCUCAGAAUCAACGCUGGCGGCGUGCCUAACACAUGCAAGUCGAACGAGAAAGUGGAGCAAUCCAUGAGUAAAGUGGCGCACGGGUGAGUAACACGUGACUAACCUACCCUUGAGUGGGGGAUAACUGAGGGAAACCUUAGCUAAUACCGCAUAAUACCUACGGGUCAAAGGAGCAAUUCGCUCGAGGAGGGGGUCGCGGCCGAUUAGUUAGUUGGCGGGGUAAUGGCCCACCAAGACGAUGAUCGGUAUCCGGCCUGAGAGGGCGCACGGACACACUGGAACUGAAACACGGUCCAGACUCCUACGGGAGGCAGCAGUGGGGAAUUUUGCGCAAUGGGGGAAACCCUGACGCAGCAACGCCGCGUGGAGGAUGAAGUCCUUCGGGACGUAAACUCCUUUCGAUCGGGACGAUUAUGACGGUACCGGAAGAAGAAGCCCCGGCUAACUUCGUGCCAGCAGCCGCGGUAAUACGAGGGGGGCGAGCGUUGUUCGGAAUUAUUGGGCGUAAAGGGUGCGUAGGCGGUUUGGUAAGUCUCGUGUGAAAUCUACAGGCUCAACUUGUAGUCUGCACGAGAAACUGCCGGGCUUGAGUAUGGGAGAGGUGAGUGGAAUUCCUGGUGUAGCGGUGAAAUGCGUAGAUAUCAGGAGGAACACCUGUGGCGAAAGCGGCUCACUGGACCAUAACUGACGCUGAUGCACGAAAGCUAGGGGAGCAAACAGGAUUAGAUACCCCAGUAGUCC